GUGCUCACGUCAGCAGCACGUGUACUGAAACUGGAGCAAGACCGAGAAGAUUAGCACGGCCCCAGCGCAAGGACGACACGCAGCUUUGUGAAGCAUUUCAUAGGUUU
Small nuclear RNA from Capra hircus (goat), 107 nucleotides. Lineage: Eukaryota; Metazoa; Chordata; Mammalia; Artiodactyla; Bovidae. The record is from Ensembl.